CAGUGGGGAUUAUAGCCUGAAUAGAGAAAAAAAUAUAUAUAGCUGAGCUCUCUAUCUUCUUUUCUGUGUAUUUAGCUACCCCCCUAAUUUUCUUUAUAGUCCACGGCACUACAGGAAUUCCUGUGCAGAUGACAGCAUUUGCUAAAUACUAAGAGGAACACCCACCACAAUUCUGGGUCUUUUUUUUUUUUUCUCUUUCUAAGAUUCCUGGGUUAAUUAUUUGCCUUUUUUUUCUUUUUUAAUUUUAUUGAACUAAGCAGAACAAGGGAAAAUAUCAACUAUGUGAGCACUAACAGUACUUAUACGAUGAAAUUAACUACCCAUUGCAUUUGACAGGUGUGCUAGUUUGAAGCAAGCUAGAAUGUUUUGAUGAGAAGAACUAGGUCAUAGGCUGUGAAAGGAAAACGAUGGUGAUGUCUGCUCCCCUCAGAGUCUUGCUGAAGAAGAAACAAAAACAUUAGAUAACACUCUCGCCAUUUUGUCUCACACUCUGCCUUGGGCUUCUGACUGAACUGCAUCUCCCUAACCUCACCUUCCAUUUGGACUAACCCACCGUUGCUUCAUAACCUCUUGGCUGAACCUCUAUUCUUCUUUAGGACUGGGAAACAGCAGAUAAGUCACCUUCUUGUCUUCAUAUCAAUACAUCAUUAAAAAGAUAUUCAUUGGGAAAAGAGAAUAAUGGAAGAGAAGAUAAAUGAAUUCAUCACAUUGGAAAGAGAGGGGAACAGCUGUCAUGAAACAAGACGUUUGGCUACCAUGGUGACAGGUGCUACAAAAAAGUAAAAGCAGCUCACUGGAGAUCUUUUUGUGCUACUUAGUGCGUAAUUUUCCACAUAGGUUCAGAGAGGGUAUAAAUAUUGGGGGCUUCCUGCCUUUGGGGUUCCCACCUUGGAGUUCACCCCCGCUUGGAGUUCGUUACUGCCUGAACCUUCGUGCUUGCCUGAGAGUUCUCCCCCUCCUCUCGCCUGGCCUGGAUACAGAAAGAGCUUCAAGGACUGCGCCACCCAUUGACACCCUUUGUAAACCUAACGACCCUUAAUGACCCAUCUGCAGCUGCUGAAAGGGAACGAGAGGGACAGAUCGCACGAUGAAGUCAGCCUGAUCGUGAGUUAUUUUGGCUCAGCUUUAUUAGUAAGAAAACUGCUAUUAAUUAAUAGCGAAAGCCUCUUCCAACUUCUGACUUCCAAAAUAGUCAGAUUAUCGAUGACAUCCCUGUAGAUAUUCUCGAGGCAACUGAAUCUGGUAAUUAAAACUAAAUUAAUUUCUGUAUAUAUAGUUCUGGGGGCGGGUUUUUUUUGAAAAUAAAAUAACUCUAUUUUUGUAUAAAAAUUCCUGAUUUGGCCACAUUAAUUCCCUGCCUCCACAACAAUUACAUUAUACAAACCUUAACUUUGAUGAUGUGUCUUCAUCAUCUUAAUCUAUAUUUAGCUAGUUUAGCAAAAAAGACCAUUCACACAUAGCUCUUUCGCCUGAGUACAAAAGUGCACUAUAUGCAGAAGUGCAGAGUAGUCUUGACAAGCCAACAAAAGCCCCAAAAGAAAAGAUUAAAUUGAAACAUAAUCAAAACUUUUCCUCCACUAAGGAAACUUUCCACAACUAUUUUAAAUUGUGUUUUACAAUAAUGCCUAAUGAAUACAAUUAAAUAUAAUUACAAGACCUUGCAGAUUCAAAUCUGAAUACUAAAGACUGGUUAAAAAACUCAGACUCCAGAUGUUGACAGAACAAAAGUACCAACGAAAUUAAAUACAUAUCUUGAAGAUAGCCCCUUAAAAGGUUACUAUUUUCUUGCUGUGUUCAUUAAUAAGCAUAAUUUCCUCAAUUAUCAGACAAUUGCUUGUUUAGGUGCAUUUUCUUCUUUUAACUACUACUGUUGCCCAUUUUCAGUGCCUCUUUUGUAAUAUGAAAUCCAAAAUUUUACUGGUGAUGAAGAAAUUUGAUUUUUCUGUAUAGUUUCUGCUUUCCUACAGUAUCAUGAAAGAACAUAUAACAAUAUCCUGCCUAUACACAGAAAACGCAUGUAUUUGUAUGUUCCAUGUAUAUAUAACAAACAUACAACACAAAACUGAAGAGCUUGAACCAAAAUUCACCAGCCACUGUAUGAAGCCAGGGCAAGAUAAAGAUACAAAGCACUGCUGGAAACAAGGAAGAUAAGUUUCCCAAACGACUAAUCUCAUUAUUUAAUCCAGUGUCUGAGAAGAUGUGAUCUAUGAUAAUUUUUUUUUAGGUGACAGAGACAUUUACAAGGAAACAUGUAGAUAGAGUUGAAACUUGCUACUGGGGACAGAUGUUUCUGCAGAAGCUGAAGGUCAAAAAUUGUGACAUCCACGCUCAAAGUCAUAUGCUGCAUCAGAUUGCAUCAGUGAGGCUGAAGUGCUGUUUUGUAGACAGCUGUAAAGAAAAAGAAUAUACUUUUUUUAAUAUUAUGACAUAAUUAUUUUUCACUGAAUUUUACUGAAACCCCUAUAUGAUUUACUAUAACCUUUAAUAUAACCUCAGACAAUAUCCAAGUUCUGCAAGAAGGAAAAAGAUAAAGCACCUAAAGAAAACACAUACCUUUUUUUUUUCAAAGAAGAAUUAUCAAAUAUAAUCUGCCUUAAUCAGCAGACAAAUCUUUAGCAACUGAAUAUCUCUCAUAACGUAAACCACUGUCGUGCAAUAAACUAUAUGGAAGUCUACAUAAAGAAUUGAGUUCAACAGUGCAGGGUUUUUUUUCUGUAUAGCAAGUUGUUAUGUUUAUGCCUCACUUUGGAAAAUGUAAAGGCAAAAUUGUAUUUUGGUAAUAAAACUAAGCAAAAAGGUGUUGUGGGUUGUUUUGUGGUUUUGAAUUGUUUGUUUGUUUAUCUUUUCCCCAAAAGAACAGAUAGAAAAUACAAAACAAAAAAGGGACCGAGAAUAUGAAAUCUAAGAUUUUCAUUACCUGUGCUUAUAAUACUUGUGCCUGGCUGAAUAGAGAGAUUUGGCUGUCACUCAGGGGAAAAGGAAAGUUUAUGGUAGUUGGAAGGACGGUCAGGCCACACAGGAGGAAUACAAAGUUGUGAGGCUAUGCAGGGACAAAAUUAGAAGGGCCAGUGAUUAGCUAGAUAUUAAUCUGCCUUCAGCUGUUAAAGACAACAAAAACUCUUCUACAAAUAUAUUAGCAACAAAAGCAGGACUAAAGAGAACUCUUAUCUUUUUUUAUCCUUUACAGAAUGCAGGGGAAAAUAUAGUAGUCAUGGAUGAAGAAAAGGCUGAGGUGCUACUGUUGUUUGCCUCUGUCAGUAGUAGUAGGGCCAGCUGUUUGCCAGGUACUCAGAUCCCUGAGCUGCAAGGUAGCGAUAGGAAGCCAAAUAAUGUCCCCUAAUCCAAGAUGAGUUGGCUAGUGGCCUUCUGUGCCACCCAGACAUACACAGGUUUAUGGGGUUCCAGUGUGGGGUCCAUCAUGGGCUGCAGAUGCUCUACCCUAAACCUCCAUGGGCUGCAGUGGGACAGCCUGCUGUCUUGCUGUGGGAUUCUCUGGCUCACCUCCUCCAUUCCUUCUUCAUUGACCUUGGUGUCAGCAUAGGUGUUUCCUUCACAUGCCACUCCUCUCUCUACUCCAGGUUGCCCUAGUUUUUCUUUCCUUCUGUAAUAUACUUCUACAGAGAAGCUUUCACCAGCACUGAUUGAUUUGCUUUGGCCAGAGUCAGGUCCAAUUUGAAAUGGGAGAAGGUUCUAAUAGCUUCUCACAGGGCCCACCCUGUAGGCCCUCCUCUGUAGCAUUUGGUUGAGGCUGCAACAGGCAUGGACUUCAGAAGGAUUUUCCCCCAUGACGACAUUUAAUUGCACAACUUAUUUUUCUUAUAUACACUUCCAGUUCUAUUCACAUGGCAAUUUUCAGAUCACACCCUUUACUACUCAUGCAUAUUAAUUACACUGGUUAAUUACAUGAGGUCUACACCCAAAUUCCUUCCAUUCACACUUCCAUUUAUCUCAUCUACCAUCAACACCUAGAUGGCAGACCAUUUUUUCAUACUAAACUGAGCUGAAAUAUGUCAUUCCCAUUCUCCUCUAAUACAAAAUCACACCACACACCACCAAUUGACCAUUGCUUUCUGUUAGCUUUAGAAAGACAAGCCUUAGGAUGAAGAUUUAAGGUUAAGGAAGUGAGAACUGGUUUAAUCAAUUCAGCUUCACCUUUUCUUCUUUAAGGAGCACAUAAGAAUGGACGCAUUCCUUAAACCAAGAAAUAUUACAGUUCUGGGCUAAUAUAUGCCACCUACCUUUAGUUAAUUUCAAAACAUCAGUACUUCUUUGUAGGUCUGCAUCACAUAUAAACUCAGCUUGUGUGAUAAUCACAAGGUGGUAGAAUUGUACUUUAUUGGAAUUGUUAUAAUUAUUACUGUAAGCUG
Pogoniulus pusillus (Red-fronted tinkerbird) is the source of this 4367-nucleotide long non-coding RNA. RefSeq lists it as uncharacterized. The record is from RefSeq and is a predicted model, not a curated record. Lineage: Eukaryota; Metazoa; Chordata; Aves; Piciformes; Lybiidae. The transcript is spliced from 5 exons.